UACAUACUGUGCGAACGUUAUUCGGAUUCACUGGGCUUAAAGGGUGCGUAGGCGGCUUGUUAAGUGGGGUGUGAAAGCCCCCAGCUCAACUGGGGAACUGCACUCUAUACUGGCGAGCUGGGGUGAGAUAGGGGUGUGUGGAACUGCCAGUGGAGCGGUGAAAUGUGUUGAUAUUGGCAGGAACGCCGGUGGCGAAAGCGACACACUGGGUCUCAACUGACGCUGAGGCACGAAAGCCAGGGGAGCGAACGGG
RNAcentral lists this ribosomal RNA (253 nucleotides) under uncultured bacterium. RNAcentral describes it as "partial 16S ribosomal RNA". It matches the Rfam family "Bacterial small subunit ribosomal RNA", at positions 524 to 776 of the family's 1533-position model. The record is from RNAcentral.